AGAGUUUGAUCCUGGCUCAGGAUGAACGCUGGCGGCGUGCUUAACACAUGCAAGUCGAACGAGAGAAGAUCGGUGCUUGCACUGAUCCGAUCGAGUGGCGGACGGGUGAGUAACGCGUGGGUAACCUGCCUCAUACAGGGGAAUAACAGUUGGAAACGGCUGCUAAAACCGCAUAAGCGCACAGUAUCGCAUGAUACAGUGUGAAAAACUCCGGUGGUAUGAGAUGGACCCGCGUCUGAUUAGCUAGUUGGUGAGGUAACGGCCACCAAGGCAACGAUCAGUAGCCGGCCUGAGAGGGUGAACGGCCACAUUGGGACUGAGACACGGGCCCAAAUCCUACGGGAGCA
Molecule: ribosomal RNA, 347 nt
Filed under: uncultured bacterium
Lineage: Bacteria
Description: bacterial SSU rRNA
Rfam family: Bacterial small subunit ribosomal RNA
Source: RNAcentral